UUACACAUGCAGUCGAACGAUGAAGCCCUUCGGGGUGGAUUAGUGGCGAACGGGUGAGUAACACGUGGGCAAUCUGCCCUUCACUCUGGGACAAGCCCUGGAAACGGGGUCUAAUACCGGAUAACACCUGCCCGGGCAUCCGGGUGGGUUAAAAGCUCCGGCGGUGAAGGAUGAGCCCGCGGCCUAUCAGCUUGUUGGUGAGGUAGUGGCUCACCAAGGCGACGACGGGUAGCCGGCCUGAGAGGGCGACCGGCCACACUGGGACUGAGACACGGCCCAGACUCCUACGGGAGGCAGCAGUGGGGAAUAUUGCACAAUGGGCGAAAGCCUGAUGCAGCGACGCCGCGUGAGGGAUGACGGCCUUCGGGUUGUAAACCUCUUUCAGCAGGGAAGAAGCGAAAGUGACGGUACCUGCAGAAGAAGCGCCGGCUAACUACGUGCCAGCAGCCGCGGUAAUACGUAGGGCGCAAGCGUUGUCCGGAAUUAUUGGGCGUAAAGAGCUCGUAGGCGGCUUGUCACGUCGGGUGUGAAAGCCCGGGGCUUAACCCCGGGUCUGCAUUCGAUACGGGCUAGCUAGAGUGUGGUAGGGGAGAUCGGAAUUCCUGGUGUAGCGGUGAAAUGCGCAGAUAUCAGGAGGAACACCGGUGGCGAAGGCGGAUCUCUGGGCCAUUACUGACGCUGAGGAGCGAAAGCGUGGGGAGCGAACAGGAUUAGAUACCCUGGUAGUCCACGCCGUAAACGGUGGGAACUAGGUGUUGGCGACAUUCCACGUCGUCGGUGCCGCAGCUAACGCAUUAAGUUCCCCGCCUGGGGAGUACGGCCCGCAAGGCUAAAACUCAAAGGAUUUGACGGGGGCCCGCACAAGCAGCGGAUCAUGUGGGCUUAUUUCGACGCAACCCGUAAACCUUACCAAGGCUUGACAUCACCGGAAAGAUUAGAUUGGUGCCCCCUUGGUGCCGGUGUACAGUGUGCAUGCUGCGUCAGCUCGGGUCGUGGAAUGUGGGUUAGUCCCGCACAACGCAACCUUGUUCU
Molecule: ribosomal RNA, 1032 nt
Filed under: Streptomyces sp. M060706-8
Lineage: Bacteria; Bacillati; Actinomycetota; Actinomycetes; Kitasatosporales; Streptomycetaceae
Description: bacterial SSU rRNA
Rfam family: Bacterial small subunit ribosomal RNA
Source: RNAcentral